This is a long non-coding RNA of Clarias gariepinus (North African catfish), 266 nucleotides long. RefSeq lists it as uncharacterized. The transcript is spliced from 3 exons. Lineage: Eukaryota; Metazoa; Chordata; Actinopteri; Siluriformes; Clariidae. The record is from RefSeq and is a predicted model, not a curated record.
UGUUCACGGCAACGGAACAGCGUUUGCUAUUGGAAACAUAUGAAGAAUUUAAAGAUGUCAUCACCAAAAAAGGCAAUACAGCGGCAAUAAAUAAAGCAAGAGAGAAAGGUUGGCAGGAAAUUGCUGAUCGUCUCAAUGCCAGCAACUUAAGUGAAGGAAAAAUAACCUGGCAGCAGGUGAAAAUAAAAUAUAAAAAUAUAGUUCAGAAUGCGACCAAAAAGAAGACUGAGGUUGCUGGCACUGGGGGAGGGCCACCACCAGCCAGC